CAAACCAGUUAAAAUGGUAAUAUAAUUAACGACAACCCUUAACGUAUAAAUGAUUUAAAAUUCUAAAUAAAAAAUGAAUCAGUACACUUAAUAUUCUUCCAACUAAUUCCCUAAAAAAAAAUCUUCCAACUAAUACAUCACUCAAAAUGGAGAAAAAUUUAAUUUAGCUACAAAUCCAUGAAGAUGAUAGUAGCUAUUCUUUUGAUUCUAGCCCUAGGUCAAAUCAUGAUUGCUAAUGCAGGAAAGUGUAUUCCCGUUGGUCAACCGUGUAAUUACGUCGAGUGGCUCGUGACAGCGGAUGAUUGUUGUGGAAAAAGCGAUUGUUCUGUCGAAGGAAUUUGUAAAUUGCCAUGAUUAUCACAAAAUUCCCCACUGGCAUUAUCUAAUUAGACUAUUAGAUUUUAUUUACCUAUCUUAUCAAUAAUUGUUCCUAACUAAUAAAUUAUUUAAUUUAAAGUUGGUGAUAACAAAUGUGUAAUUAUUUUUCAUAUAGGAAAUUUAUACAAAUAUGCUAAUAAAAUUUAUGUUUUCGAUUGA
Spinacia oleracea (spinach) is the source of this 537-nucleotide long non-coding RNA. RefSeq lists it as uncharacterized. Lineage: Eukaryota; Viridiplantae; Streptophyta; Magnoliopsida; Caryophyllales; Amaranthaceae. The record is from RefSeq and is a predicted model, not a curated record. The transcript is spliced from 2 exons.